UCUCCAUAACUAUAGAGUUAUGAGUAAAAAAAAAAAACAUUACACAAAUGUGCUCAAAACCCAAAUGAAUAAUAUUUUGUUGAAUUUCCAAGUUUAAGAUUAGGUAUAAUAAGAUUUUUCCCACAGCUGUUGGGCAAACAAGUGAGCACAAAAAACAUGCAUACAUUUACAAGACACAGCUACAUAAUGAAGGGACAUGGACAUGCCUCAGCACUCUUCAUCGCCUCAUAUAACAAUAAAACUUUGCCCUGGAAUGAUGAAGGGAAUGAAACAACAUUGACCAGAGAGGCCCCCGAUCAUUCUGCAUCACGGAGCCCCAUCCACAGACACUGGGGGGGGCUGAACCAGAGGAAGGGGUGUGCCGUUAUAAGAGGGGAGAGAAAGGGAGCAGGCAAGCAGUUGAACAAACCAAGAAGCUGAAGAUUGGACAUAACCGCCACACCUCAAGACCGAAAGUGAGAGAGAGACUGAGAGCAACCCCUUAUCACAG
Sinocyclocheilus rhinocerous is the source of this 490-nucleotide long non-coding RNA. RefSeq lists it as uncharacterized. The record is from RefSeq and is a predicted model, not a curated record. Lineage: Eukaryota; Metazoa; Chordata; Actinopteri; Cypriniformes; Cyprinidae. The transcript has 3 exons.